This 1243-nucleotide long non-coding RNA is filed under the name Nicotiana benthamiana. RNAcentral's name for it is "long non-coding RNA (NBEN_LNC021961)". The record is from RNAcentral. Lineage: Eukaryota; Viridiplantae; Streptophyta; Magnoliopsida; Solanales; Solanaceae.
UUAGAUUUAACCCGAUUCUAUUCAUCGUUCGAAUUAAUACACACAAAUAAAUACUAGCAUUAGCGAUACAUGAAUUAAACAAGCUCAUGAUUUACUAUCUAGAACAGAUCUUAGGGUAGUUGAGUGAGGAUCAUACCUAUAUACUCAAGGACUUAAUUUUAAAGACAAGGAAGCCAAAUACUUGCUAAUUGCAGCAGAAUAUUGAGCCCAGCUCCAAUGAAGCCUUCAACAGACUUUGUACCUACAGUGACUUUGUGUCAAGGAAAGACUGCCGACUGAUGCUAAUUGCAGCAGAAUAUUGAGCCCAACUCCAAUGACACCUUCAACAGACUUUGUACCUACAGUGACUUUGCGUCAAGGAAAGGCUUCCGACCAAACCUCCGACAAGCCGGAUAACACAACAGCAAACGUCAAGCCUCAGCGGCGAAUCAGAUCCGUGAACAGAACCUUGAAUGAACGACGGAACAGGGACCUCGAAUAGCUACCUCCGUCUACCUCGAACUCACACUCAAUAUAGUUCUCAGACGAGCACUCCAAGUAGCGAACCAAUUUAGAGAAGCAAAAUGCUUUUUCGGAAUUCGAUUAUCGAAUCCCCAACAGAAAUGUACAUAAGAUCGCGCCGGGAAACAAGCAACAAAACCAAUGAUCGAAAAUUCAACAAAUCUCAUAUUCAAUCACAACAAAUAACAAGUUGGCUCCGUCGGAAACGAACAGAGAACGACGAGUGGAACCUCGAUGUCGAUCUCUAAUGAAACCUCUGAUUUUCCGACUCACAUCGACUACUCUUGGCUGUUUCGAACUAGAUACAGAGAUUCAAAGGGUGGUUUGCUUUUUUUUUUUUUGUAAUUUUUUGUGUGUGUUUUUCUGUUUACACCAAUGUAUCAAUGGGGUGUUUUGAUGGCUGAAGACGAGGCAGAAGCUGGGGGAAAUCGACGGUGUGGGUGGUCGACGAAGGUUUUUGCGUGGAGAUCGUCGUUUGGCAAUAGAACCUGGUGGUAUGGAGGCUUGACCACUGGUGAAGGGUGGUCGAUGGAAGGGGUCGUUUGGUUUUUUGAAGAAGGAGCAGCAGGUGGUCGUUUCGGCGAAGCUUCUCACAUGGAGAAGAUCCCUAAACAGUAGUGUCCGUCCGUUUUUUGUGACUUUUUCUUCUUUUUUUCAAUGGCUGAUGGCUUCCCCCUUUUUGUAUUGUGCGGAAAUGGUUAUAUAGAGUGUAUGGGUAGGGUGUUAUGUGGGGGGAGUUUUA